GAUGAACGCUGGCGGCGUGCCUAAUACAUGCAAGUCGAACGAAGAUGUUCUUGUGUUUACACGAGAGCUCUUAGUGGCGGACGGGUGAGUAACGCGUAGGUGACCUGCCCUAAAGAAGGGAACAACCUCGGGAAACUGAGGCUAAUACCCUAUGUGCUUAUAGAGAUUAGAUGCUUUAUAAGUAAAGGUUCUGUGGACGAAAGGCCACAGUAUCGCUUUAGGAGGGGCCUGCGUCCCAUCAGCUAGUUGGUAGGGUAAUGGCCUACCAAGGCAGUGACGGGUAGGGGACCUGAGAGGGUGACCCCCCACACUAGCACUGAAACACGGGCUAGACACCUACGGGUGGCAGCAGUAGGGAAUCUUGCACAAUCGACGAAAGUCUGAUGCAGCAACGCCGCGUGUGCGAUGAAGGCCUUCGGGUUGUAAAGCACUUUUCUGAGGGAAGAGAAAGGACG
RNAcentral lists this ribosomal RNA (455 nucleotides) under uncultured Anaerolineaceae bacterium. Its description in RNAcentral is "bacterial SSU rRNA". It matches the Rfam family "Bacterial small subunit ribosomal RNA", at positions 28 to 457 of the family's 1533-position model. The record is from RNAcentral. Lineage: Bacteria; Bacillati; Chloroflexota; Anaerolineae; Anaerolineales; Anaerolineaceae.